Durio zibethinus is the source of this 1570-nucleotide non-coding RNA. The record is from RefSeq and is a predicted model, not a curated record. NCBI's taxonomy places the organism in Eukaryota, Viridiplantae, Streptophyta, Magnoliopsida, Malvales, Malvaceae.
CUCGAACGCCAGGCUGUCCUCCUCUGCCGCACUGCCUGUCACAAAAUCCGGGUGCCAAAUUAAAAACCCUAACCCUAAAAGACCCUUUCAGAAGCUAAUUCUGGCUUUCAGCCGCUUCUUUUAUACUUUUGUUAUUCUUUGAUAGAAAUGGUUGGAAAUUGUUGUUAGGCUGGUGAAAAUCUAAAAAUAAGAAUAUAAAAAUCAUGUCUUUGGAAGUGACUAGAAAGGAGACUCAACAGUCAACGCCACCGAUAGAUGGUCAUAAGGGGAACGGCAUGGCGGUGAUGCCGGGCAUGGCGACGAUGCACCGGUUACGGCUGAACCCUAACACGGAGCACAAGCCGGAGAGCUACGAGGGUUUGCAGUUGGAGUUCAGUCCGUUUCUGUUCAGCUCGCUGGAACGUUACUUGCCUUCUCCGAUGCUCUCAUUCUCUCGCGACUCCAAGCUCUAUUACAUGCGCGAUAUUGUUCUUCGUUACUCUCCUGAAGGGGAACGAUCUCGCGUUCAAAGGCAUCAUGAAUACAGCCAAAAGAUUAUAUCACACUAUCAGCCUCUGCAUAGGGAAUUGUAUGCAAUGCAUGCCUCAAACUUCUUUGUCCCCUCAUUUCUCAAAGCAAUUAAUGAGAAUAAAGAGGAAAGUUUUAGAAGUAUAAUGGCUGAACCUCCUUUAGGAGUUUUACAUUUGAAAUGCUUCAGCAAUGUUUCUGUGAAUUGUUGUUGUUGUCUUAGGUAUCAUCUCUGCCUUCUUCUCUUCUGGUAUUUUUUGCUUUAGCUUUCUUGUUUUUUUAAUUUUGGUGCACGUUAAAAUUUUAAUUAUUGAUGCUUACUCCGACUUAUUCCGUUAAUCUGCUUGUUUAUAAUACCUUUGUGUUAUCUUUUCUUUUAUUGGUAAUACUGUUAUAGUCUUUUAGCAUAAAAUCUUCGUGUUAAGUUGUAGCUUGACAAACUUCUGUAUCUUUGUGUUUGUAGGUUUUCACGUGGAUGAUUCAGAAAUCACCUUAAAUGUUUGCUUGGGUAAAAAACUUUCUGGUGGAGACUUGUUCUUUCGAGGCUUCAUUGUGAUAAACAUGUUAAUACAGAAACCAAAUCAGAUCUGUAAUAGCUGCAUGUUCUACAAAGCGUUAGGAUGAAGUUUAGUGUCAGUUUGAUGAAAAGAUUCCUAUAGAAGCAAGUCAACAAGAAGAAUAAGCCCCAUCUCAGAUGCAGCGCCACUCAGAAACUACUGAAGAGGGAAGGGAAACCUGCGACUUGAACUCAAGUUUUUGCUUGUGAAAUUGUUAAUAGGUGGAUCCUUGCCAUUUAUCACCCAAAAGGAAAAUUCUUGUUCAUAUUUUGUAAGUGAAGCAGUUUUGCCAAAUUGGGUUGGUAAAAGAUGGAAGUCUUUUUGUGUGUCUUCAUUGUACUUCAAUGCUGUACAUAUAUAGGCAUCUUGUCUGAGUGUCCUGGCCGACUAAACUCUUUUGUAGUUACGGUUGAAUGUGUCUUUAACAUUUUAGAAUGGCAGCAGCUUCUUCACAUAAAAGUAAAUACUCCAUUGUUUUAUGGAUCUAAUGUUGGCUGUUUCGAGCA